GACGAACGCUGGCGGCGUGCUUAACACAUGCAAGUCGUACGGUAAGGCCCUUUCGGGGGUACACGAGUGGCGAACGGGUGAGUAACACGUGAGUAACCUGCCCACAACUUUGGGAUAACGCUAGGAAACUGGUGCUAAUACUGGAUAUGUUCUCCUGCUGCAUGGUGGGGGUUGGAAAGUUCCGGCGGUUGUGGAUGGACUCGCGGCCUAUCAGCUUGUUGGUGGGGUAGUGGCCUACCAAGGCGGCGACGGGUAGCCGGCCUGAGAGGGUGACCGGCCACAUUGGGACUGGGAUACGGCCCAGACUCCUACGGGAGGCAGCAGUGGGGAAUAUUGCACAAUGGGCGCAAGCCUGAUGCAGCAACGCCGCGGGCGGGAUGACGGCCUUCGGGUUGUAAACCGCUUUCAGCAGGGACGAAGCUUUUUGUGACGGUACCUGCAGAAGAAGCACCGGCUAACUACGUG
This 465-nucleotide ribosomal RNA is filed under the name uncultured bacterium. RNAcentral's name for it is "partial 16S ribosomal RNA". It matches the Rfam family "Bacterial small subunit ribosomal RNA", at positions 28 to 507 of the family's 1533-position model. The record is from RNAcentral.